GCUGUCUGUGAUGUUAUCAAUCUUACCUACCUUGUUUGAAGAGCAUUUUGAAAAAGAAAUCUGGUCUGAGACUUGC
This is a small nucleolar RNA of Parambassis ranga (Indian glassy fish), 76 nucleotides long. Its record names the gene SNORD34. It matches the Rfam family "Small nucleolar RNA SNORD34". Rfam says of the family: snoRNA U34 is found in intron 5 of the ribosomal protein L13a gene in humans. U34 is a member of the C/D class of snoRNA which contain C (UGAUGA) and D (CUGA) box motifs, and functions in directing site-specific 2'-O-methylation of 25S rRNAs. NCBI's taxonomy places the organism in Eukaryota, Metazoa, Chordata, Actinopteri, Ambassidae. The record is from Ensembl.